CCUACGGGUGGCAGCAGUGGGGAAUAUUGGACAAUGGGGGGAACCCCGAUCCAGCCAUGCCGCGUGUGUGAAGAAGGCCCUCGGGUUGUAAAGCACUUUCAGUGAGGAAGAACGCCUGGUGGUUAAUACCCAUCAGGAAAGACAUCACUCACAGAAGAAGCACCGGCUAACUCCGUGCCAGCAGCCGCGGUAAUACGGAGGGUGCGAGCGUUAAUCGGAAUUACUGGGCGUAAAGCGCGCGUAGGUGGCUUGAUAAGCCGGUUGUGAAAGCCCCGGGCUCAACCUGGGAACGGCAUCCGGAACUGUCAAGCUAGAGUGCAGGAGAGGAAGGUAGAAUUCCCGGUGUAGCGGUGAAAUGCGUAGAGAUCGGGAGGAAUACCAGUGGCGAAGGCGGCCUUCUGGACUGACACUGACACUGAGGUGCGAAAGCGUGGGUAGCAAACAGGAUUAGAUACCCGAGUAGUC
This 465-nucleotide ribosomal RNA is filed under the name Vreelandella stevensii. RNAcentral's name for it is "partial 16S ribosomal RNA". It matches the Rfam family "Bacterial small subunit ribosomal RNA", at positions 338 to 795 of the family's 1533-position model. Lineage: Bacteria; Pseudomonadati; Pseudomonadota; Gammaproteobacteria; Oceanospirillales; Halomonadaceae. The record is from RNAcentral.